RNAcentral lists this unclassified non-coding RNA (248 nucleotides) under Clonostachys sp. RNAcentral's name for it is "partial contains 5.8S ribosomal RNA, internal transcribed spacer 2, and large subunit ribosomal RNA". The record is from RNAcentral. Lineage: Eukaryota; Fungi; Ascomycota; Sordariomycetes; Hypocreales; Bionectriaceae. RNAcentral also lists the same sequence under 3 other names.
AACGCACAUUGCGCCCCUUGGUAUUCCAUGGGGCAUGCCUGUUCGAGCGUCAUCUACACCCUCAAGCUCUGCUUGGUGUUGGGCGUCUGUCCCGCCUCUGCGCGCGGACUCGCCCCAAAUUCAUUGGCAGCGGUCUUUGCCUCCUCUCGCGCAGCACAAUUGCGUCUGCGGGGGGGCGUGGCCCGCGUCCACGAAGCAACAUUACCGUCUUUGACCUCGGAUCAGGUAGGGAUACCCGCUGAACUUAA